UGAACGCUAGCGGCAGGCUUAAUACAUGCAAGUCGUGGGGCAGCAUGAGUAGCAAUACUUGAUGGCGACCGGCAAACGGGUGAGGAACACGUACACAACCUUCCUUCAAGCGGGGAAUAGCCCAGAGAAAUUUGGAUUAAUACCCCAUAAUAUAUUUGAUAAGGCAUCUUAUUAAUAUUUAAAGCUUCGGCACUUGAUGAUGGGUGUGCGGCUGAUUAGAUAGUUGGCGGGGUAACGGCCCACCAAGUCUACGAUCAGUAGCUGAUGUGAGAGCAUGAUCAGCCACACGGGCACUGAGACACGGGCCCGACUCCUACGGGAGGCAGCAGUAAGGAAUAUUGGACAAUGGACGAAAGUCUGAUCCAGCCAUGCCGCGUGAAGGAUUAAGGUCCUCUGGAUUGUAAACUUCUUUUAUAUGGGACGAAAAAGGGCAUUCUUGUUCACUUGACGGUACCAUAUGAAUAAGCACCGGCUAACUCCGUG
This 483-nucleotide ribosomal RNA is filed under the name uncultured bacterium. RNAcentral's name for it is "bacterial SSU rRNA". It matches the Rfam family "Bacterial small subunit ribosomal RNA", at positions 30 to 507 of the family's 1533-position model. The record is from RNAcentral.